RNAcentral lists this unclassified non-coding RNA (391 nucleotides) under soil metagenome. RNAcentral's name for it is "partial contains 5.8S ribosomal RNA, internal transcribed spacer 2, and large subunit ribosomal RNA". The stretch from base 1 to 122 matches the Rfam family "5.8S ribosomal RNA", at positions 35 to 154 of the family's 154-position model. The record is from RNAcentral.
GAUGAAGAACGUAGCGAAAUGCGAUACUUGGUGUGAAUUGCAGAAUCCCGUGAACCAUCGAGUCUUUGAACGCAAGUUGCGCCCGAAGCCAUUAGGCCGAGGGCACGCCUGCCUGGGCGUCACACGUCGUUGCCCCCCCAUCUACUCCUUCGGGAUUGCGGGGGGCGGAUGAUGGCCUCCCGUGCGCCUCGUCGCGCGGUUGGCAUAAAUGCCAAGUCCUCGGCGACGCACGCCACGACAAUCGGUGGUUGCGAAACCUCGGUUGCCCGUCGUGUGCGGUCAUCGCGCAUCGAGGGCUCGAAAAAAUUGCCGGGCUCCGGCUCGGCUUUCAACGCGACCCCAGGUCAGGCGGGGUUACCCGCUGAAUUUAAGCAUAUCAACAAGCGGAGGA